This 470-nucleotide ribosomal RNA is filed under the name uncultured bacterium. RNAcentral's name for it is "bacterial SSU rRNA". It matches the Rfam family "Bacterial small subunit ribosomal RNA", at positions 8 to 524 of the family's 1533-position model. The record is from RNAcentral.
AGAGUUUGAUCAUGGCUCAGAACGAACGCUGGCGGCAUGCCUAACACAUGCAAGUCGAACGAAGGCUUCGGCCUUAGUGGCGCACGGGUGCGUAACGCGUGGGAAUCUGCCCUUGGGUUCGGAAUAACAGUGAGAAAUUACUGCUAAUACCGGAUGAUGACUUCGGUCCAAAGAUUUAUCGCCCAAGGAUGAGCCCGCGUAAGAUUAGCUAGUUGGUGAGGUAAAGGCUCACCAAGGCGGCGAUCUUUAGCUGGUCUGAGAGGAUGAUCAGCCACACUGGGACUGAGACACGGCCCAGACUCCUACGGGAGGCAGCAGUGGGGAAUAUUGGACAAUGGGCGAAAGCCUGAUCCAGCAAUGCCGCGUGAGUGAUGAAGGCCUUAGGGUUGUAAAGCUCUUUUACCAGGGAUGAUAAUGACAGUACCUGGAGAAUAAGCUCCGGCUAACUCCGUGCCAGCAGCCGCGGUAAU